This 253-nucleotide ribosomal RNA is filed under the name uncultured bacterium. RNAcentral's name for it is "partial 16S ribosomal RNA". It matches the Rfam family "Bacterial small subunit ribosomal RNA", at positions 524 to 776 of the family's 1533-position model. The record is from RNAcentral.
UACGUAGGGUGCGAGCGUUGUCCGGAAUUAUUGGGCGUAAAGAGCUUGUAGGCGGUUUGUCGCGUCUGCUGUGAAAAUCCGGGGCUCAACCCCGGACUUGCAGUGGGUACGGGCAGGCUAGAGUGUGGUAGGGGAGACUGGAAUUCCUGGUGUAGCGGUGAAAUGCGCAGAUAUCAGGAGGAACACCGGUGGCGAAAGCGCUCGUCUGGCCCAAUACUGACGCUGAUGCGCGAAAGCUAGGGGAGCAAACGGG